RNAcentral lists this transfer RNA (77 nucleotides) under Aeromonas hydrophila. RNAcentral's name for it is "tRNA-Lys". It matches the Rfam family "tRNA". Rfam says of the family: Transfer RNA (tRNA) molecules are approximately 80 nucleotides in length. Their secondary structure includes four short double-helical elements and three loops (D, anti-codon, and T loops). Lineage: Bacteria; Pseudomonadati; Pseudomonadota; Gammaproteobacteria; Aeromonadales; Aeromonadaceae. The record is from RNAcentral.
GGGUCGUUAGCUCAGUCGGUAGAGCAGUUGACUCUUAAUCAAUUGGUCGUAGGUUCGAUCCCUAGCACGACCCACCA